Molecule: long non-coding RNA, 205 nt
Filed under: Capsicum annuum
Lineage: Eukaryota; Viridiplantae; Streptophyta; Magnoliopsida; Solanales; Solanaceae
Description: long non-coding RNA (CANN_LNC021616)
Source: RNAcentral
CGUUAUUCCAUAUCUUUAAGCUUCAACGUUUCUACCCAUCAUUCUGGGACGAAUGAUCCCAAGGGGGAGAUAAUGUAACACCCUGUAUUUUGGGCUAGAACGAAAAACCAUCAUUUCUAUGCGUAGAUGAUCCAAAAGCCAUAAAUACUAUGAAAAUUUUCCAUGUUAAUCAAUUAUGUAGUGUGGAAAAUUGAAUGAUCUUUCC